This 253-nucleotide ribosomal RNA is filed under the name uncultured bacterium. RNAcentral describes it as "partial 16S ribosomal RNA". It matches the Rfam family "Bacterial small subunit ribosomal RNA", at positions 524 to 776 of the family's 1533-position model. The record is from RNAcentral.
UACGAAGGGGGCUAGCGUUGCUCGGAAUCACUGGGCGUAAAGCGCACGUAGGCGGGUUGUUAAGUCGGGGGUGAAAUCCUGGAGCUCAACUCCAGAACUGCCUUCGAUGCUGGCGACCUUGAGUCCGGGAGAGGUGAGUGGAACUCCGAGUGUAGAGGUGAAAUUCGUAGAUAUUCGGAAGAACACCAGUGGCGAAGGCGGCUCACUGGCCCGGUACUGACGCUGAGGUGCGAAAGCGUGGGGAGCAAACAGG